This 654-nucleotide ribosomal RNA is filed under the name uncultured Coriobacteriaceae bacterium. RNAcentral's name for it is "bacterial SSU rRNA". It matches the Rfam family "Bacterial small subunit ribosomal RNA", at positions 28 to 698 of the family's 1533-position model. The record is from RNAcentral. Lineage: Bacteria; Bacillati; Actinomycetota; Coriobacteriia; Coriobacteriales; Coriobacteriaceae.
GAUGAACGCUGGCGGCGUGCCUAACACAUGCAAGUCGAACGAUUAACCCGCCUUCGGGCGGUCAUAGAGUGGCGAACGGGUGAGUAACACGUGACCAACCUGCCCCCUUCACCGGGAUAGCCCCGCGAAAGCGGGAUUAACACCGGAUACUCCCGCGGGACCGCAUGGCCCCGCGGGGAAAACGAUUCAGCGGAAGGGGAUGGGGUCGCGUCCCAUUAGGUAGUAGGCGGGGCAACGGCCCACCUAGCCCGCGAUGGGUAGCCGGGUUGAGAGACCGAUCGGCCACAUUGGGACUGAGAUACGGCCCAGACUCCUACGGGAGGCAGCAGUGGGGAAUAUUGCGCAAUGGGGGAAACCCUGACGCAGCAACGCCGCGUGCGGGACGACGGCCCUCGGGCUGUAAACCGCUUUCAGCGGGGAAGACAUCGACGGUACCCGCAGAAGAAGCCCCGGCUAACUACGUGCCAGCAGCCGCGGUAACACGUAGGGGGCGAGCGUUAUCCGGAUUCAUUGGGCGUAAAGCGCGCGCAGGCGGCGCGCCAAGCGGGACCUCUAACCCCGGGGCUCAACCCCGGGCCGGGUCCCGGACUGGCGCGCUCGAGUGCGGUAGAGGCAGGCGGAAUUCCCGGUGUAGCGGUGGAAUGCGCAGAUAUC